This 72-nucleotide transfer RNA is filed under the name Camelus bactrianus (Bactrian camel). It matches the Rfam family "tRNA". Rfam says of the family: Transfer RNA (tRNA) molecules are approximately 80 nucleotides in length. Their secondary structure includes four short double-helical elements and three loops (D, anti-codon, and T loops). RNAcentral also lists the same sequence under 3 other names. The record is from Rfam by way of RNAcentral. Lineage: Eukaryota; Metazoa; Chordata; Mammalia; Artiodactyla; Camelidae.
GAGGGUAUAGCCCAGUGAUGAAGCACUUGCUUAGGAUGCACAAGGUCCUGGGUUCAAUCCCCAGCACCUUCA